This 3570-nucleotide long non-coding RNA is filed under the name Homo sapiens (human). RNAcentral describes it as "HSALNT0170030". Lineage: Eukaryota; Metazoa; Chordata; Mammalia; Primates; Hominidae. The record is from RNAcentral.
CUUGCAUCAGCCUGCAAUAUCCAACUUGCAUUAUGCAAAUAUAGAUGAAACAGACAGAAUAUAUGGUCUAGUAGGCCAAUAUAUUUUAAAGUGAAUUUGCCUUUUUACUUUUGACUAUUUAUUUGUCCUCUCUGUGGGAGCUAUUUAGGCAUCAAACACUUAGCACAGUAAUUUACAUAAAAAGUAUCUCAGGUUUGUAUCGUGAUCAUGGAUUAUUUACUUGGGAUUCUCAACCAUCAGAAAUGGAAAUUCUGAGUAUUCUGAACAAGGAAAAAGAGACAAAAUAUAUUUCUUCUCUAUGAGCGGGAGCAACGCCCAAAACCUCAUUGCAGCACAACAAUGGGGAGUAAGAAAAGCCCCAGGUCUCUCAAAAUGCCCACAAGGCUUUGUCAGAAAUUGCGCUGGAAGUCUAGUGGGAAAUGCCCUUGUAUCUGUGUUUGUGUGCAGAAGAUGGCCCUUAUUCUUUAGCUAAUGAUCAGAAAUUUUUUUACUAGACCUACAUUAUGUCAAAAGGUUCUAACUCUUCUGUGCAGGGGAUAUCAUAAAGGACAGAAUCAAUCAUUGCUACAAAAGCAGACAAACCAAACAUAUGCAUGGCACAUUCUUGCAAACCAGGCGCCGGGAACCUGCAACCCUUGGGGUUUGUGUGUAGGUGACAGAGCACUGGCUUUUCUGUGGACUCCUCAUUUCCCUUCCUGGGACUCAACUCUGUAGUUUUUCCCCAGAGGGAAUUGGAUCCACCCAAAAGACCUGGAAAGAGAAGGAGAGACAGAAAAAGAGAAAAAGGAAGGAGGGAAGAAAAAGAGUUUUCAAAUGGAGAAGACCUUCAAUUGUAAAACAUUCAAAAAACAAAACAUACGAGAAAAUGCUCAAAAAUGAAAGUGACAAGAGUGGGCAUGUUCUUAAGACCAUUUGUCCAUCUCAGUUGUAGGAAACUAUCAGUUAUGACAGCACAAGAUUGUUACAGAAUGCGAAAUUUUGUCACUCUGUGCAAAAAAUCUCUCUGGAAAUCAUAAUUCAUAUGGGACUUUCAACUCAGCAAGGAAAGUCGCUGCGUCCUCCCCACUGUAGCUCUGGUCUAAUUACGGACAACUGCUCUCAAGGGCUGGUUCGGGGCAUGACCAUGACCCAUCACUUUUGGGGACACAUUCUCCUCGCCUCUUGUGAGCUUCGAUACUUUCCCUGACACUUUAGAUUCAAAAUGUAGACAGGUUUCCCUUUAUUCAUUCCGAUUACUGAAAAACAAACAAACAAACAAACAAACAACUUUUGGCUGGCACAGUGGCUCACACCUGCAAUCCCAGCACUUUGGGGAGCCUAGGAGGGAGAAUUGCUUGAGUCAGGAGUUCAAGACCAGCCUGGGCCACAUAGGAAGAUCCCAUCUCUACAAAACUUUUUUAAAAAUAGCCAGGUGUGGUGGCACACUCUUAUGGUCCCAGCUACUUGGGAAGUUGAGGUAGGAGGAUUGCUUGAGACCAGGAGGUUGAGGCUGCAGUGAGCCAUGAUCGCACAAGCACUGCUGUGCUCCAGCCUGGUGACAGAGUGAGACCCUGUCAAAAUAAAAAAAAAUAAAAUUAAAAAAAAAUCUUUUUGUUUUUGAGAUAUUUUCAAAAGUCCCAUAUUCCUGGGAUGGGCAUUUGGAAGAACAGUAUGAACUGUCUGCUGUAUAUUAUGGAAUGAACUGUCUGCUAUAUUUUACGGUAUGAAGUGUCUGCUGUAUGUUACGGGAUGAACUGUCUGCUGUAUAUAUUACGGUAUGAACUGUCUGUUGUAUAUUACUACUCAAGGCUUUUUGUUUUCCCAUUAGUAGCGUCCCACCAGAGAGUUGUCUUUCAAGAAAGAUUUCUGGGUUUAUCACCAAGGAUCUCAGAGAAGUAGAGGCUGAGUCUAAAGAGAAGUGCCGCUGCAGCCAGGAAGGAAGGGGGCAGAUGGGACUCCUUUUUCCACGUGGUAGACUUUUUUAUUGAGUAAGACUUUCUCUUUUGGUGAAAGAGAAAGUCACAGACCUCAUCCAGUGAAGGCUUCAUCUCUCUGCCAUGGAUUCACCUCUAGUGGUGAUUAAAUUAUGUGCCUCAUUCUGUCUCUACCAGGGUGGAAAUCCGUGACUUUCUAAUUUGUUCCUACUUCCCUUUGAACUCACAUCCCAAUUAGUGGCACUUUAGUGGCAGUCAGGGGACAGCACAUAGUGAAAGAAACCCAGAGAAGCUGACAGAGCAGAGCGGGCUUGUGAGCUGGGGUUCCGCAGUGUGCUAGGGAUGCGGAGCCUUCCCAGGGCAACACGACCGCACACAGUGAGUGUUACAGGCGUGUCUGAGUUCUGUCUAUGCGUUUAAAUGUAUACAUCUAUUUUGUUUCCUCUUAAAGGCCCCAGGCCACAUGUACUAACAAUUCAGAUUGUGUUAAGGAAAAAGAAGCCCUUCUCACUACACAUACACACACAUGCUUACAUGUGCAAUACAAAUACAAAGUAAGAAAACCAACAACAUCCCAAACACGCCACAAGAGCACAAAAGGGCUAGAUUUCUCCUCACCAAGAAAUACCACUCUCUCUGCUCCCCGAACAUGGGGACUCCGGGUUUUUCUCAGGGCCCCAAAGAAGAACCAUUCCAUCCAACAGGCAGUAUUUCGGAGCCUGCACAAGGCUUCCAAAUGUUCCCAGGAGCUCUCUCUCUCUCUCUCCACCUGUGAAUGGCUGGGUGGCAUUGUUGGCUGUUUCUUUCAUUCCCCCUCUGCUUUGAACACAGAAACUAGCGGUUUUUGUUUUUUUUUUCUUUGUCAAUGUCUCCCAGAAGUAGUAGUCCCUACCCCAAUGUAUACGGGAGCACGGGAUCAUAGGUGGAUACCGAUUGGUCGUUGCUGGGACACCAUUCCUAGAAGUCUCUGGCAGUGUGUCUAAGAAUAAUGUCAGUACAUUGCAGACCCUACAGGUGCCUGUGGGCAAGAUGGGUAUUUUGGGAUCUCAGAUGGCACGGGUAAUUCUGGGACUUCUCCUCACAGGAGACAAGGAACUGCCAUGGUAAUGUUGAUUUCCACACUUUAUGAAUACAUGACAGAGAAGCACUGCUAAUUAAACAAACAUGAGAUGAACAAGACAACAGCAAUAAAUUGUGAGCUAAUUUAAAAUAAUAAAAGACAUCCAAAAGAAAUGAAUCACAAUACAGAAAGAUAAAACCCUGUUUAAAUAAUUUGGGGGUAUGUUCCAGAAACCAGGUGCUAAGUAAUCAUUUAAUUCUUCAUUUCCAUGGAAUUCUUUAAGGUUCCUCACUGGGAAAUGAUUUUUAAAAAAUCACAGCUUAAAUAAUUUAAAUGAAAACAUGUCUAAGGAUGUUAUGUGACAAAAUUUCUGUAGUUUCUCAACCACAUUUUGGAGGAAUGUUUUCAAAAAUUAUCUGGGCACUCUAUAAAUGUUAAGGUUUUUUUCAUUACAAGGUUUAUGUUACUUGGUGAAAUUUUAAUGUAAUGAAACAUUCAGCUGGACCUUGUGCUGGAUGUAAAAUAAAAUUAUUCAUUGAAAAUCAGACCACAGGCCACCUACUGUUUUUUUUAACAAAUGGUUGAACUAUCACGGGG